RNAcentral lists this non-coding RNA (23 nucleotides) under Arabidopsis thaliana (thale cress). Lineage: Eukaryota; Viridiplantae; Streptophyta; Magnoliopsida; Brassicales; Brassicaceae. The record is from RNAcentral.
UGAAACGUAACGCGGAUGUUGUC